Non-coding RNA from Cinara cedri, 492 nucleotides. The record is from the annotation of a GenBank genome assembly. Lineage: Eukaryota; Metazoa; Arthropoda; Insecta; Hemiptera; Aphididae.
UGAUCAAUUUAUUCACCAAACCUCUCUCCUAGUAUAAAUUCUGAAAUAAUUUGAAUCAUAAACAUCAAAUUUAAUAUUAUAAUGUUGUGCAUACAAUAAUUAUAAUUAUUAUACUAUUAGUAAAAGAUAAUAUUUUCUUUUCAAGUCUGUGUAAAAAAAAUAAAAGACGAACAUAAUUCGCACGAUAGCGGUGGGUCAUUGUUAUAGGUGAAGAGUUGUGAAAGUAGGAUAUAUAAAAUAAUUUAUUAUUUUUUAUAUAAACGCGACGACUAAUUAUUGCAAACGAAAAAAAAUUUUAAACGGACUUUGGUUGUACAGGUUUUGAAAGGCUGUAAUAAUUACGAUUUUCGUCAAAAUAAAAUAUUAAAAUUAUUAUUAAAAAAAUUCUAUAUUACACUGAAUUUUUUUUUUUACCACAAAAUAUGACUUAUAAUGAACCUCAGGUUAAAAUUUAAAACUUUUCUAUUCGGUCCAAUAACUUUAUUUAUGGAU